Molecule: ribosomal RNA, 2929 nt
Filed under: Brucella abortus
Lineage: Bacteria; Pseudomonadati; Pseudomonadota; Alphaproteobacteria; Hyphomicrobiales; Brucellaceae
Description: 23S ribosomal RNA
Rfam family: Bacterial large subunit ribosomal RNA
Source: RNAcentral
UUUGGUUAAGUUAGAAAGGGCGCACGGUGGAUGCCUUGACACUAGGAGUCGAUGAAGGACGGGACUAACGCCGAUAUGCUUCGGGGAGCUGUAAGUAAGCUUUGAUCCGAAGAUUUCCGAAUGGGGAAACCCACCAUACGUAAUGGUAUGGUAUCCUUAUCUGAAUACAUAGGGUAAGGAAGACAGACCCAGGGAACUGAAACAUCUAAGUACCUGGAGGAAGAGAAAGCAAAUGCGAUUUCCUGAGUAGCGGCGAGCGAAACGGAACAUAGCCCAAACCAAGAGGCUUGCCUCUUGGGGUUGUAGGACAUUCUAUACGGAGUUACAAAGGAACGAGGUAGACGAAGCGACCUGGAAAGGUCCGUCGUAGAGGGUAACAACCCCGUAGUCGAAACUUCGUUCUCUCUUGAAUGUAUCCUGAGUACGGCGGAACACGUGAAAUUCCGUCGGAAUCUGGGAGGACCAUCUCCCAAGGCUAAAUACUCCCUAGUGAUCGAUAGUGAACCAGUACCGUGAGGGAAAGGUGAAAAGCACCCCGGAAGGGGAGUGAAAGAGAUCCUGAAACCGUGUGCCUACAAAUAGUCAGAGCCCGUUAAUGGGUGAUGGCGUGCCUUUUGUAGAAUGAACCGGCGAGUUACGAUCCCGUGCGAGGUUAAGCUGAAGAGGCGGAGCCGCAGCGAAAGCGAGUCUGAAUAGGGCGUUUAGUACGUGGUCGUAGACCCGAAACCAGGUGAUCUACCCAUGUCCAGGGUGAAGUUCAGGUAACACUGAAUGGAGGCCCGAACCCACGCACGUUGAAAAGUGCGGGGAUGAGGUGUGGGUAGCGGAGAAAUUCCAAUCGAACCUGGAGAUAGCUGGUUCUCCCCGAAAUAGCUUUAGGGCUAGCCUUAAGUGUAAGAGUCUUGGAGGUAGAGCACUGAUUGGACUAGGGGUCCUCAUCGGAUUACCGAAUUCAGUCAAACUCCGAAUGCCAAUGACUUAUCCUUAGGAGUCAGACUGCGAGUGAUAAGAUCCGUAGUCAAAAGGGAAACAGCCCAGACCGCCAGCUAAGGUCCCAAAGUGUGUAUUAAGUGGAAAAGGAUGUGGAGUUGCUUAGACAACUAGGAUGUUGGCUUAGAAGCAGCCACCAUUUAAAGAGUGCGUAAUAGCUCACUAGUCGAGUGACUCUGCGCCGAAAAUGUACCGGGGCUAAAUACACCACCGAAGCUGCGGAUUGAUACCAAUGGUAUCAGUGGUAGGGGAGCGUUCUAAGGACAGUGAAGUCAGACCGGAAGGACUGGUGGAGUGCUUAGAAGUGAGAAUGCCGGUAUGAGUAGCGAAAGACGGGUGAGAAUCCCGUCCACCGAAUGCCUAAGGUUUCCUGAGGAAGGCUCGUCCGCUCAGGGUUAGUCAGGACCUAAGCCGAGGCCGACAGGCGUAGGCGAUGGACAACAGGUUGAUAUUCCUGUACCACCUCUUUAUCGUUUGAGCAAUGGAGGGACGCAGAAGGAUAGAAGAAGCGUGCGAUUGGUUGUGCACGUCCAAGCAGUUAGGCUGAUAAGUAGGCAAAUCCGCUUAUCGUGAAGGCUGAGCUGUGAUGGGGAAGCUCCUUAUGGAGCGAAGUCUUUGAUUCCCCGCUGCCAAGAAAAGCUUCUAGCGAGAUAAAAGGUGCCUGUACCGCAAACCGACACAGGUAGGCGAGGAGAGAAUCCUAAGGUGUGCGAGAGAACUCUGGUUAAGGAACUCGGCAAAAUGACCCCGUAACUUCGGGAGAAGGGGUGCUUUCUUAACGGAAAGCCGCAGUGAAUAGGCCCAAGCGACUGUUUAGCAAAAACACAGCUCUCUGCGAAGCCGUAAGGCGAAGUAUAGGGGGUGACACCUGCCCGGUGCUGGAAGGUUAAGGAGAGAGGUUAGCGUAAGCGAAGCUCUGAACUGAAGCCCCAGUAAACGGCGGCCGUAACUAUAACGGUCCUAAGGUAGCGAAAUUCCUUGUCGGGUAAGUUCCGACCCGCACGAAAGGUGUAACGAUUUGGGCACUGUCUCAACCAGAGACUCGGUGAAAUUAUAGUACCUGUGAAGAUGCAGGUUACCCGCGACAGGACGGAAAGACCCCGUGGAGCUUUACUGUAGCCUGAUAUUGAAUUUUGGUACAGUUUGUACAGGAUAGGCGGGAGCCUUUGAAACCGGAGCGCUAGCUUCGGUGGAGGCGCUGGUGGGAUACCGCCCUGACUGUAUUGAAAUUCUAACCUACGGGUCUUAUCGACCCGGGAGACAGUGUCAGGUGGGCAGUUUGACUGGGGCGGUCGCCUCCUAAAGUGUAACGGAGGCGCCCAAAGGUUCCCUCAGAAUGGUUGGAAAUCAUUCGUAGAGUGCAAAGGCAUAAGGGAGCUUGACUGCGAGACCUACAAGUCGAGCAGGGACGAAAGUCGGGCUUAGUGAUCCGGUGGUUCCGCAUGGAAGGGCCAUCGCUCAACGGAUAAAAGCUACCCCGGGGAUAACAGGCUUAUCUCCCCCAAGAGUCCACAUCGACGGGGAGGUUUGGCACCUCGAUGUCGGCUCAUCGCAUCCUGGGGCUGUAGUCGGUCCCAAGGGUUGGGCUGUUCGCCCAUUAAAGCGGUACGCGAGCUGGGUUCAGAACGUCGUGAGACAGUUCGGUCCCUAUCCGUCGUGGGCGUAGGAAAUUUGAGAGGAGCUGUCCUUAGUACGAGAGGACCGGGAUGGACGCACCGCUGGUGUACCAGUUGUUCUGCCAAGGGCAUAGCUGGGUAGCUAUGUGCGGAAGGGAUAAGUGCUGAAAGCAUCUAAGCAUGAAGCCCCCCUCAAGAUGAGAUUUCCCAUAGCGUAAGCUAGUAAGAUCCCUGAAAGAUGAUCAGGUUGAUAGGUUCGAGGUGGAAGCAUGGUGACAUGUGGAGCUGACGAAUACUAAUAGAUCGAGGACUUAACCAUAUAA